Molecule: long non-coding RNA, 1292 nt
Organism: Homo sapiens (human)
Lineage: Eukaryota; Metazoa; Chordata; Mammalia; Primates; Hominidae
Source: Ensembl
GAUCAUGCCAUUGCACUCCAGCCUGGGUGACAAAGCAAGACUAUGUCACAGAAAAAAAAAAAAAAAAUUAGUCAGACCUGAGUUUGAAUCCCAAUGUAAAUUGCUUUUACUACUUGGGUAAUCUCCAGCAAGUUAUCCUUCCGCAACCCAUAACAUUCAUUAUCUAAAAAAUUAUGUCAGUAAUACAUUGCCAUCAUAAAUGGUUCUAGAAAUAUAUGACUAUAGGAUGAAAUACAAACCUCUCCUCCUCCCACUCUUACCUUCCCCUGCUUCCCCCAUGCCUCCUCCCCUUGCCUGAGAUAACCACUGUUAACAGUUGAGCUACAUCCUUUCCAGCUUUUAGAGCAUAUUUUUGUUUACAUGUAUACAUUAUCAUGAAAGUUGCUUCUUUUGCUGAACAGUAUAUCUUGGAGGCUGGAGUACAGUGGCGCCACCCUAGCUCACUGCAGCCUUGAACUCCUGAGCUCAAGCAAUCCUUCGGCCUCAGCCUCCCAGGCUUUGGCGUCUCCAAGUACCUGACCUCAGCUCAACCUGUCUUGGGUUUUCUUCUCCUCCCUGACAUUGACAACCCAGCCCUCCUAGGCACAGAGAGAUGGAGCUGAGUGUGGUUUUCCUGAAAUAAAGCUUGCAUUAUGAGAGGGAAUAAACAGAAGAAAAAAAUAUGUCUGAGGCGCAUGGCCCCGGGAGAGGAGGAGAAUGGGACGGUGGUUCAGAUCUGCUGAUGUAGCUGUGGUCAGUCACUGGGGAGAAUAGGCCUGUGGAUUUCUGCUCCUCUGAGAUGGAUCCAUCACUGACUACUGAACUUGUUUUCUCAUUGGCUCAACUUAAGAAGGUUCUAGAGGGGCUGUUCUGCUUGCUGGAUUGGAAAUGAUUUUAGCCCCUCAUGCCAGGAAGAAAACAUAGGCAGAUUUCUCACCAGCUAAAAAGGAAGGAAAAAUUGUGAAGUGAAAUUUUCUACUGGCUGUGGUUUAUCCAUGUUAAAUUGUAAAGCAUAUAACACAGAUGGAAUCCGGCACAUGCAAAACACUCACAAAACCUAGUUACUACUACUGCUGGCGCUGCGGCUACACGACUACAACUACUACUACAGCCACUACUCUCCUCCUACUGCUACUGCUGCUGCUGCUAGUGUUUCGUAAAGUGGAGCUACAGAAAUCAACAUUUUUUUUCUUAGCUGCACAGUGAAUUCGUUUUUUGGACUCCAGUAUUCUUCCUGAAGGUCUGUUUCAUCCUAGUAUGACUCUCACUUUUUUUUCAAAAUUUUAUUUUAUUUUAUUUUUGAAAUGGAGCCU